UUGUAUGGAGCCUCACCUGCUACAGUCCCCCCAAGAAAGAGCUGUAACUUGUGCAGCAAAGGAAGAGCUGGAAAACACCGAACCCAAAGCCCUUAGGCAGCACACAUUUACAAAUGGAACUGAGCCACUGUCCAUGAAUUGGUUAAGAAUACUUAAAAAGCUCAAAGUCAUAUAGAAAGGGAAGAAAAGGAAGUUAAAAGCAGUACUGUAAGGCAAAGAGGAUAUGGAAUAAGGAUAAUGCUUAUCUGCUACAGAGACACUGCCUGCUACUGGAAUCAGAACCAGCAGCUGAAGCUCCGCAUUGUUCUCACCCUUCUGAAGUAAACUGCCUAGCUCAACUUCUGGGAGGAGGAAAGAAGAAACCCGCCCAAGGGGUACCUGCACAGAAACUCUAAGCUACACACAGAGGGCUCUCCACCCCACCUAGGCACUGCCUGGCUACCAAGCCGUCCAGCAGAAAACUCUGUAUGCAACCUGCCUGGCAGCUGGCAGCAGGGACGCACUAAGCAGGUGAAGCGUUCAGCAAGGGCAGAUCUCUUUCCAAAGCCACAGCGCUUGGCUGCAGUUGUGAGGUGCAGAGAGCAGCCGGGGGUUGCUGGUGUGCAAGCACAGCAGGCUCAGCGGGCACACGGCCCCGGGCAGCACCUGCGCCUCCC
This is a long non-coding RNA of Pogoniulus pusillus (Red-fronted tinkerbird), 656 nucleotides long. RefSeq lists it as uncharacterized. The transcript is spliced from 3 exons. The record is from RefSeq and is a predicted model, not a curated record. NCBI's taxonomy places the organism in Eukaryota, Metazoa, Chordata, Aves, Piciformes, Lybiidae.